CACUUGUUCAGGGAAGAGUCGGU
This 23-nucleotide microRNA is filed under the name Sus scrofa (pig). RNAcentral's name for it is "ssc-miR-9794-3p". The record is from miRBase by way of RNAcentral. Lineage: Eukaryota; Metazoa; Chordata; Mammalia; Artiodactyla; Suidae.